GACGAACGCUGGCGGCGUGCUUAACACAUGCAAGUCGAACGGAAAGGCCCUGCUUUUGUGGGGUGCUCGAGUGGCGAACGGGUGAGUAACACGUGAGUAACCUGCCCUUGACUUUGGGAUAACUUCGGGAAACUGGGGCUAAUACCGGAUAGGAGCUCCUGCUGCGUGGUGGGGGUUGGAAAGUUUCGGCGGUUGGGGAUGGACUCGCGGCUUAUCAGCUUGUUGGUGGGGUAGUGGCUUACCAAGGCUUUGACGGGUAGCCGGCCUGAGAGGGUGACCGGCCACAUUGGGACUGAGAUACGGCCCAGACUCCUACGGGAGGCAGCAGUGGGGAAUAUUGCACAAUGGGCGGAGGCCUGAUGCAGCAACGCCGCGUGCGGGAUGACGGCCUUCGGGUUGUAAACCGCUUUCGCCUGUGACGAAGCGUGAGUGACGGUAAUGGGUAAAGAAGCACCGGCUAACUACGUG
This 468-nucleotide ribosomal RNA is filed under the name uncultured bacterium. Its description in RNAcentral is "partial 16S ribosomal RNA". It matches the Rfam family "Bacterial small subunit ribosomal RNA", at positions 28 to 507 of the family's 1533-position model. The record is from RNAcentral.